RNAcentral lists this ribosomal RNA (450 nucleotides) under uncultured bacterium. RNAcentral's name for it is "bacterial SSU rRNA". It matches the Rfam family "Bacterial small subunit ribosomal RNA", at positions 354 to 796 of the family's 1533-position model. The record is from RNAcentral.
GUGAGGAAUAUUGGGCAAUGGGCGAAAGCCUGACCCAGCCACGCCGCGUGAGUGAUGAAGGCCUUCGGGUUGUAAAGCUCUGUGGGGAGGGAAGAAAAAGCGCAGGAGUAACUGCCUGUGUGUUGACGGUACCUCCUUAGCAAGCACCGGCUAACUCUGUGCCAGCAGCCGCGGUAAUACAGAGGGUGCAAACGUUGCUCGGAAUUACUGGGCGUAAAGCGCGUGUAGGCUGACAUGCAAGUCGGGUGUGAAAUCCCAGGGCUCAACCUUGGAACUGCACUCGAAACUGCACGUCUUGAGUACUGGAGAGGGAAGCGGAAUUCCGGGUGUAGAGGUGAAAUUCGUAGAUAUCCGGAGGAACACCAGUGGCGAAGGCGGCUUCCUGGACAGUAACUGACGCUGAGACGCGAAAGCGUGGGGAGCAAACAGGAUUAGAUACCCUUGUAGUCC